This is a long non-coding RNA of Gekko japonicus, 135 nucleotides long. RefSeq lists it as uncharacterized. Lineage: Eukaryota; Metazoa; Chordata; Lepidosauria; Squamata; Gekkonidae. The record is from RefSeq and is a predicted model, not a curated record. The transcript is spliced from 3 exons.
GUCACUAAGGGAGGGAAAUACAUAGAAGCAUAAAAGAUCUCAGCUUUCUGCAGUGUGUGCUUUUGGUUUUGUGGUAUGCAGUCGGAAGCCCAAACGCUCAAAUGUUCCGGCUUGAGCAGGACUCCAGGACGAAGG